This 468-nucleotide ribosomal RNA is filed under the name uncultured bacterium. RNAcentral describes it as "partial 16S ribosomal RNA". It matches the Rfam family "Bacterial small subunit ribosomal RNA", at positions 28 to 507 of the family's 1533-position model. The record is from RNAcentral.
GACGAACGCUGGCGGCGUGCUUAACACAUGCAAGUCGAACGGAAAGGCCCUGCUUUUGUGGGGUUCUCGAGUGGCGAACGGGUGAGUAACACGUGAGUAACCUGCCCUUGACUUUGGGAUAACUUCAGGAAACUGGGGCUAAUACCGGAUAGGAGCUCCUGCUGCAUGGUGGGGGUUGGAAAGUUUCGGCGGUUGGGGAUGGACUCGCGGCUUAUCAGCUUGUUGGUGGGGUAGUGGCUUACCAAGGCUUUGACGGGUCGCCGGCCUGAGAGGGUGACCGGCCACAUUGGGACUGAGAUACGGCCCAGACUCCUACGGGAGGCAGCAGUGGGGAAUAUUGCACAAUGGGCGGAAGCCUGAUGCAGCAACGCCGCGUGCGGGAUGACGGCCUUCGGGUUGUAAACCGCUUUCGCCUGUGACGAAGCGUGAGUGACGGUAAUGGGUAAAGAAGCACCGGCUAACUACGUG